GACGAACGCUGGCGGCGUGCUUAACACAUGCAAGUCGAACGGAAAGGCCUCUUUCGGGGGGUACUCGAGUGGCGAACGGGUGAGUAACGCGUGAGUAACCUGCCCUUGACUUUGGGAUAACUUCAGGAAACUGGGGCUAAUACCGGAUAGGAGCUCCUGCUGCAUGGUGGGGGUUGGAAAGUUUCGGCGGUUGGGGAUGGACUCGCGGCUUAUCAGCUUGUUGGUGGGGUAGUGGCUUACCAAGGCUUUGACGGGUAGCCGGCCUGAGAGGGGGACCGGCCACAUUGGGACUGAGAUACGGCCCAGACUCCUACGGGAGGCAGCAGUGGGGAAUCUUGCACAAUGGGUGGAAGCCUGAUGCAGCAACGCCGUGUGCGGGAUGACGGCCUUCGGGUUGUAAACCGCUUUCGCUCAUGACGAAGCUUUGUGUGACGGUAGUGGGUAAAGAAGCACCGGCUAACUACGUG
Molecule: ribosomal RNA, 467 nt
Filed under: uncultured bacterium
Lineage: Bacteria
Description: partial 16S ribosomal RNA
Rfam family: Bacterial small subunit ribosomal RNA
Source: RNAcentral